UACGGGGGGUGCAAGCGUUACUCGGAAUCACUGGGCGUAAAGAGCAUGUAGGCGGAUUAAUAAGUUUGAAGUGAAAUCCUAUAGCUUAACUAUAGAACUGCUUUGAAAACUGUUAGUCUAGAAUGUGGGAGAGGUAGAUGGAAUUUCUGGUGUAGGGGUAAAAUCCGUAGAGAUCAGAAGGAAUACCGAUUGCGAAGGCGAUCUACUGGAACAUUAUUGACGCUGAGAUGCGAAAGCGUGGGGAGCAAACAGGAUUAGAUACCCCUUGUAGUCC
This 274-nucleotide ribosomal RNA is filed under the name uncultured bacterium. RNAcentral describes it as "partial 16S ribosomal RNA". It matches the Rfam family "Bacterial small subunit ribosomal RNA", at positions 524 to 796 of the family's 1533-position model. The record is from RNAcentral.